This 253-nucleotide ribosomal RNA is filed under the name uncultured bacterium. RNAcentral describes it as "partial 16S ribosomal RNA". It matches the Rfam family "Bacterial small subunit ribosomal RNA", at positions 524 to 776 of the family's 1533-position model. The record is from RNAcentral.
UACGUAGGGUGCAAGCGUUGUCCGGAAUUAUUGGGCGUAAAGGGCUCGUAGGCGGUUUGUCGCGUCGGGAGUGAAAUCCACUGGCUUAACUGGUGGCUUGCUUUCGAUACGGGCAGACUGGAGGUAUGCAGGGGAGAACGGAAUUCCUGGUGUAGCGGUGAAAUGCGCAGAUAUCUGGAGGAACACCGGUGGCGAAGGCGGCAUCCUGGACCGGCAUUGACGCUGAGGAGCGAAAGCCAGGGGAGCAAACGGG